UAAGCAUAUCAAUAAGCGGAGGAAAAGAAACCAACAGGGAUUGCCCUAGUAACGGCGAGUGAAGCGGCAACAGCUCAAAUUUGAAAUCUGGCUCUUUUAGAGUCCGAGUUGUAAUUUGCAGAGGGCGCUUUGGCUUUGGCAGCGGUCCAAGUUCCUUGGAACAGGACGUCACAGAGGGUGAGAAUCCCGUACGUGGUCGCUGGCUAUUGCCGUGUAAAGCCCCUUCGACGAGUCGAGUUGUUUGGGAAUGCAGCUCUAAAUGGGAGGUACAUUUCUUCUAAAGCUAAAUAUUGGCCAGAGACCGAUAGCGCACAAGUAGAGUGAUCGAAAGAUGAAAAGCACUUUGGAAAGAGAGUCAAACAGCACGUGAAAUUGUUGAAAGGGAAGCGCUUGCAGCCAGACUUGCUUGCAGUUGCUCAUCCGGGCUUUUGCCCGGUGCACUCUUCUGCAGGCAGGCCAGCAUCAGUUUGGGCGGUAGGAUAAAGGUCUCUGUCACGUACCUCUCUUCGGGGAGGCCUUAUAGGGGAGACGACAUACUACCAGCCUGGACUGAGGUCCGCGCAUCUGCUAGGAUGCUGGCGUAAUGGCUGUAAGCGGCCCGUCUUGAAACACGGACCAAGGAGUCUAACAUCUAUGCGAGUGUUUGGGUGUCAAGCCCGAGCGCGUAAUGAAAGUGAACGGAGGUAGGAACCCGCAAGGGUGCACUAUCGACCGAUCCUGAUGUCUUCGGAAGGAUUUGAGUAAGAGCAUGGCUGUUGGGACCCGAAAGAUGGUGAACUAUGCUUGAAUAGGGUGAAGCCAGAGGAAACUCUGGUGGAGGCUCGCAGCGGUUCUGACGUGCAAAUCGAUCGUCAAAUUUGGGCAUAGGGGCGAAAGACUAAUCGAACUAUCUAGUAGCUGGUUCCUGCCGA
Molecule: ribosomal RNA, 911 nt
Filed under: Alternaria obclavata
Lineage: Eukaryota; Fungi; Ascomycota; Dothideomycetes; Pleosporales; Pleosporaceae
Description: LSU rRNA
Rfam family: Eukaryotic large subunit ribosomal RNA
Source: RNAcentral